Molecule: long non-coding RNA, 1575 nt
Filed under: Ananas comosus (pineapple)
Lineage: Eukaryota; Viridiplantae; Streptophyta; Magnoliopsida; Poales; Bromeliaceae
Description: long non-coding RNA (ACOM_LNC039344)
Source: RNAcentral
AUGUACAUUUGGUUGGAGAGCCAUUUGAAAGGUUCUGGUGAAGUUCGGUGAAGUUCGGGAGCAUUCGGGCGAUUCGGUGCGUGUAGGCCGGAAACGGGACCCGAAAGGCUAUGUUGGGUCGUGAACUAAAUCUGGCAUUAGUGUGGAUGAAAAUAUGAUGAAAAUACGCUCGAAAAUAUGUUUGGAGAGUCUCGGUUCGAUUUGAAAAGAAUCGGAGGUCAAACGAGCGAAAACGAGCGAAAACGGACCCCGAAAAUGAAAAAGGCUGAAAUUUGGCUACGUCCUAAAAAUGCUGGAAUUCUGGACCUUCAGGGACCGGUCUCUCACUGCCAGGGACCGGUCCCCUAUACAAAAAUUGGCCCCGCGGGGACUGUGUAUUAAAAUGGAAGUUGAGGGGCUUAUUUGCACUUUUGUGCAUUACGUAAGUGUAAAUGAGCUAUAGAGAGCUCAUUUGCUCUCUCCCUCUCAUCUUUUUAACCUAAGAGAACUCUCCCUCUCUCUCUCUAAGCUCUCUUUCUCUCUCCAAAGGGUGGAUCAAGAGAAGGAGUUGGAGAAGAAGCAAGUUUGGAAGUGGGUUUUCAUCUUCCUUACCUUCUUCCUCACCAUUGGAGAAGCUUGUUUGAGGUAAGCUUUACACCCUCUAAUGGUAGCUUCUAGUUUGUGGGUUUUUAAGCUCUAGAAAUGGAAUUUAAUGGUGAUUUAGAGAUUGUUAAUCUCAUUUGUUGCAAGAUCUAUAGCUUGAUGUUGCUCUUUGCAACAAUGAGGAGUUAGAGCUCCAAAUGAGAGCUUUAAUGGUAGAUCUCUAGGGCUUUGGUCUUAUGCUCUAGAAAUGGAUUUAGUAGCCUUCCUAGAUGCUAAUUAGAUGGAUUAUGUUUAGAUCCAAAGUUCUAAUGGUGGGUUUUUGUCUAGUUAAGACCUAGGGCUCCAAAAUGGGGUUUUAGUAAAUCUUAGGUUAUGAUCUAUUUUGAGUGGUCAGAAACCUAAUUGCCAUGUCUCCGAACGCGUAGGAAGCGACGGUUCGUCGAUUCGUCGAGCGGGUGCGACGUUCCGGCUGAAACAAGUGCUAGAAGGUCCGUUUUGGCCCGAGGAGCCGAGGCGACGUGCGAAGACCGCGAAGACAAGCUUUCUAACCUUUCGGCGUUACCAAAAGGUGGGGGAGUGCCAUCCCGAAGCAGUCGGGCUACUCUUUAUGUCUAAGUGCUAAGUUGACCUAAUUGCAUAUUGUGAUAUUGCAUUAUAGGGUGUUAUAUGUAAUUGUUACAUAUUCUUGCAUGCUAAUAGAAUAGUGUAGAGUUGAGUUGCUUAACACCUAAAUCUAGUAUGCAUGAGAUUAACGUCAAAUGACUUGAGACCCUAUAAUGAAGUGAUAGUUGAUAGAAAGUGAACCUGCUUAUGUGAAUGGGAAUCUAGUAUGGUGUAACUCAUGUUUGAGAACAACAAACAUGACGAGUGGCAUCUAGUUAACAUUUAACUUGACGAGUGGCAUCUAGUUAAUGUUGAACUUAGGAGAGAACUAGUUCCCAAGUGAUGUUGUCUAGAGUAGUAGGGUAUCCUCAGUGACGGGGAUUUGACCAU